Molecule: long non-coding RNA, 832 nt
Organism: Esox lucius (northern pike)
Lineage: Eukaryota; Metazoa; Chordata; Actinopteri; Esociformes; Esocidae
Source: Ensembl
GGGAGGCUGUUCUGUCCAGGGCGUGUGUCCUGGUAACUGGGAGGGUGAUAUCUGGUGAAAUGUCUGGCUUGGCUGUGAGUUGUCUGGUGCAUGGUGGGAGAUGGUGUGGUGACAUGGCUGGUGUGACUUUGUUGAAGGGCUGUAGAUCUGGGAAGACCCAGGAGGGCAUGGGCUCUUCAGUUUAUUUAUGGUUUCAAUCUUCGGAUGAACAAAUUGAAACCAUAAAUAAAAAUAUAUUUUUCAUCUUUUGAACAACAAACACGUUUAAAGAUGAAAUGACCUGUCCAGUUGCACCGAGGAGAAGAAUCUCCUUUCACCUCAUGAGAAGGUGUGUCAGCAGACCAAGAAAUUGUUUGGCUCUGCCCACAAGAAAAUCCCUGUGGAGGGUUUCUGGCCGAUGAUCAUUCACAAGUGUUGUACGGAGUCUUCUAGAACAAUUUCAGUUUGGUCAGAAUCAUCAGUCAAAAGCUUUUUCUUCACUAAGUCUCUUGUUGAGCCAUUUUAUUUCAUUUGAACCAUGUCUCUUUAUUUGUGAACUGAUUGUUGAUGAUUGAUUGCUUGUUGUCAUCUGUGGCCGUUGGGCCUAAAGCGCUUCAGUUUUUUGUUUAAAUGAAGAUGGAGUUCACUGUGGAAGGAAAACAAGUGACCGCUGUUAUGUAACUUUUAAUAAAAAUAAGCUAUUCUGAUGAGCAUCAACAUCCGUGCUGUGAAUGUGAAGAUCUGCCAGCUAUCUCAAAGGGUCAGAUAGAAAUGCUGAUAGUAGCACUUUUUAUGUAUAGAGAUCUAAACACAUCAGUGGAGGUAGACUAUUACGUUUCAGAUAUUAAAAAAG